GGUAACAUUUCUAGCUUGCUAGACGAUGACGAGUGGCGGACGGGUGAGUAAUGCUUGGGAACUUGCCUUUGCGAGGGGGAUAACAGUUGGAAACGACUGCUAAUACCGCAUAAUGUCUUCGGACCAAACGGGGCUUCGGCUCCGGCGCAAAGAGAGGCCCAAGUGAGAUUAGCUAGUUGGUAAGGUAACGGCUUACCAAGGCGACGAUCUCUAGCUGUUCUGAGAGGAAGAUCAGCCACACUGGGACUGAGACACGGCCCAGACUCCUACGGGAGGCAGCAGUGGGGAAUAUUGCACAAUGGGGGAAACCCUGAUGCAGCCAUGCCGCGUGUGUGAAGAAGGCCUUCGGGUUGUAAAGCACUUUCAGUUGUGAGGAAAAGUUAGUAGUUAAUACCUGCUAGCCGUGACGUUAACAACAGAAGAAGCACCGGCUAACUCCGUGCCAGCAGCCGCGGUAAUACGGAGGGUGCGAGCGUUAAUCGGAAUUACUGGGCGUAAAGCGCACGCAGGCGGUUUGUUAAGCUAGAUGUGAAAGCCCCGGGCUCAACCUGGGAUGGUCAUUUAGAACUGGCAGACUAGAGUCUUGGAGAGGGGAGUGGAAUUCCAGGUGUAGCGGUGAAAUGCGUAGAUAUCUGGAGGAACAUCAGUGGCGAAGGCGACUCCCUGGCCAAAGACUGACGCUCAUGUGCGAAAGUGUGGGUAGCGAACAGGAUUAGAUACCCUGGUAGUCCACACCGUAAACGCUGUCUACUAGCUGUGUGUGUCUUUAAGACGUGCGUAGCGAAGCUAACGCGCUAAGU
Molecule: ribosomal RNA, 800 nt
Filed under: Alteromonas sp.
Lineage: Bacteria; Pseudomonadati; Pseudomonadota; Gammaproteobacteria; Alteromonadales; Alteromonadaceae
Description: bacterial SSU rRNA
Rfam family: Bacterial small subunit ribosomal RNA
Source: RNAcentral